Molecule: long non-coding RNA, 4803 nt
Organism: Dermochelys coriacea (leatherback sea turtle)
Lineage: Eukaryota; Metazoa; Chordata; Testudines; Dermochelyidae
Exons: 2
Source: RefSeq, a predicted model, not a curated record
UGCUGCUGCCUGAUUGCAUACUUCCGGUUCCAAAUGAGGUGUGAUUUACCAGUCAGUCAGUAACUCUAUUGUUUGCAACUCUGAGUUUCUACUAUAUUAUCUCUUCUAUGUGAAAUUCACUUAUUUUUUCCAAAGCAAAAACAUACAGCAAGCUUUAAUGCAGUGGUUCUCAUCUGAUUAUUCAUUGUGGGCCACAGGGGCCAGUUGGCAGGGCAGUGGCCCUGGAGCUUGCGGGGCCAGGUGGCUGCCCCCAACCCCGCCAUGUGGGGUGGGCCGGCUGCUCAUCCUGGACCCCCUCUGCAUAGCUGUCCCAGACCCUGCCAUGCGGGAUGAGACGGCUGCCCUGCAUCCUGCCACAUGGGGCUGAAGUUUACAGGGCCGUGUGGCUGCCCUGACUCCGGAACCCCACCAGGCGGCUGACCUGGGCCCCAGAGCUCAUGGGCCCUGCUGGUUGCCCUGAAUACCACGGGGCCAGAGCUUGCAGGGCCGGGCGGCUGCCCCAGACUCCAGAGCUUGUGGGUCUGCCAGAAGCCCCAGGCCCCAACCGCAUGGGGCUGGCCAGGAGCCCAAUCCCACGGGGUCCACCAGCAGCCCCAACCCCUCCCCUGCUGCACUGGGCAGCGGGGCAGCCCAGCUGGACCCCUCCACAUGUGGUGGCUGGAAACCCACUGGACCCUGGCCAUGUGGUCUGGCCUUUAGCACACAGCUGAGCUGGGCUGCAGCUGUGUGCUAAUUGGGCUGCGUGCAGCCCACGGUUGAGAACCGCUGUUUUAACUGUUCACUAACUUUUCUGAGGUUUUAUAUUUGAAUUACUAAUUUUUAAGACUACUUUUUAUCCAACUACAUUAAGACUAUAUUUUAUAAUACAUUGUUACAUGUAUUACAUACAUAGUAAUACAAAAUAUUGUGUAGUCCAUUAUGAAAUUCUAGCUAAGAGAUUGUUGUUUUAGAAAUAGCGCCCUACCAAAUUCACAGUCCAUUUUGGUCAAUUUCAGUCGUAGGAUAUUAAAAAUUGUAAAUUUCAUGAUUUCAGCUCUUUAAAAAUGAAAUUUCAUGGUGGUGUAAUUGUAGGGGUCUUGACCCAAAAAGGACUUGAGUGGGUCACAAGGUUAUUCUAGGGGAGGUUGCGAUACUGCUACUCUUCUGUGCUCCUGGCAUCAGUGCUGCCUUCAGAGCUGGGUAGCUGGAGAGCGGCGGCUGCUGGCUAGGAGCCUAGCUCUGAAGGCAGAGCCGUGGCCAGCAGCAGCAGCACAGAAGUAAGGAUGGCGUGGGUUUGCCAUCCUUACUUCUGCACUACUGCUGAUAGGGUGCUGACUUCAGAGCUAGGCGCCCGGCCAACAGCAGCCACUCUCCGGCCACCCAGCUCUGAAGGCAGCACAGAAGCGACGGUGGAAAUACCACAACCCCCCUAAAAUAACCUUGUGACCCCCUGCAACCUCCUUUGGCGUCAGGACCCGCAAUUUGAGCAAUGCUGGUUUCCCCCAUAUAAUCUGUAUAAUACAGGGUAAAAGCGCACACAAGACCAGAUUUCACUGUUUGUAACGUGUUUUUCAUGGCCGUGAAUUUGGUAGGGCCCUAUUUAUAAAACAAUGUCUAAGCAGUAUUUCAUAUUUUGAACAGCCACAAUAUUGCACAAUAGGAUAAUAAACUCAAUUACAGUGCAGCCUCUUGCAAGUAAACAACAGAGGUAGAACACAAAACUUGCAGUGAUUCUGGGUAAGAAUGUGGUAUUUGAAGUCUGCAAAAGUAAGAGUUUCAGAAACUUGUAUGUUGAUGAGGUACAGAUGUAGGAAUCAUGUAUGUAUAGGAAUGAAUUUAUGUUGCUGACGCCUGCACUAUAUCUAAAUAUAUAAAUUGAAUCGAAAAUGGACUGUUCGGCUUUCAAAUUUUCUUUCUAUAUUCCUGGAUUAUUUUAGAGUUAAACUGCAAAGGCAACAUUUGCAAGCAAUACAUAUAUGGUAUCUCUGGGGUAAUUAGUUACAUAAAGCAGCAGUACCAUGAUUAUUAAUUCUCAGAUUUCAUAUUCAUAGCAAAAUACUUAAGGUUAUGGACUUCAGCUCUGAAAUUCCACAAUAAUGGUUGUAUUGACUACUCAGUAUAUUUACCCACAUAAUUUCUGAAGUGAUUUAGACUGGCAAUAUUUUGUCAGUCAGUGAUUGCAAACAGCAUUUAGCAAAACUGAAAACAUGCUUGCUUAGAUAUUCAGGAUACAAAGGCCAGAUUUUCAAAAGAACUCUUCACCCAGCAUCUUCCUUUUACACAACUAACUAAAGUAGCCAGAUUUUCAAAAUCCACAGCUCCCUUUGACAGCAAGGAAAGCUGCUGCAUUCAAAGCAUUUCUGAAAACCCUGGUCACUUAAUUUGAGUGUCUAUUAGGAGCAGAGUUCUUUUGAAAAUCUAGCCCCAGCUGGGCGUGCCGAGCAUUCUGGAAAAUUGAUCCUUAUAUAUUUGCAAUGUAAAAGUUACAAGAAAUGUUAUGCUCCACAAAACUGUCUGCACCGUUAGCUUCUGAUAUGAUUGGUUUAUUUUGUUUGCCUAAAUUAAAUCCUAGUCCUGCAACACUUGCUCAUGCAAAUAAUUAUUUAUGCAAGCAAUUUCGUUAAAUAUUGAUGUCAGUGGGUAUUUUGUAUGAGUAAGUAGUCCAGAAUAAGGAGGGAAAUUCUAUUUAAAAGUUUUAUUAUCUCCAUCUAUUCUUUAUUUUUUAUUUUAUUUAUUAUUACAAAACCUCUUUUUGGUUAUCAAAAGUUACCAAAGAUACUUCCAAAGUAAAAAGAAUGCAUUUCUGUUAAGGAGAUGUAAAUGAAUUAUGUUGACAUGUUAAUCAGUGUUUAAUCUACAUGGUUCAAAAAGCUCUAGUGAACAUAAUAAAUUAACAAUGGUUAAUAUUUGUUCCUCUUCCUCCACUUUGGCAAAGCUCAUGUGACUUGUUCAUUUUAGAUUAUCCUCUUACUUAAAGUGAGGGUACAUUUCUUUGUAGUUAAGUACAUUAUUUAUUUGUAGGGCAAUAGCACGCAAGCCCCAGUCAGAAUUCGGGUCAUACUGUGCUAAGGUAUAUAGAAACUCAAAAAUUGAUUUGUUGUUUAUCUGAGAUAUAAAUAUACUACAAAAACAACUUGAAGCUACAUCCAUUUUGAGGGUACAAGUGCUUUAAAGAAGGAAAUGGCUAAAAUAUGGUGUGAUAAGUGAUUGCAUUUAGGAUUUUUUUGUGCCAAGACUUACGGAACAACUGACAUCAGGGAGUCUCCAAUUAGCUAGGCAAUGUGCAUAUUUAUUUUGGAGUUAACAGCAAUUAUACUAAACUAUUUAAUGACUUAACAAAAUGAUAUUUUUCUUUAAGGGCUCAUUUUUUAUUAACUACAGUGGUACUUUUCACAGCCUCGGAGUCAUAUCCAGGAGGAAAUGUAUGCCAUGAGAGUUAAGUUUUGACCCUCUUGUGAAACGUUAAGGGUGUGAAAUAUUUGCUGUGACAUUUGGUUUGUUUUUUGUUAUAAAAAAUUGCUUAGUGGAAGCCUUUCUGAAAACUGUAGACAUCUGGCAAGCUGUAUGGUCCAGCAGUUAGGUUGUGGGACUAGGCCUUAAGAGCCCUGGGUUCUAGUCCCAUCUUGUCCUAUGAAUCAACUGGGUGACCUUGUGAAAGACAUUUUUGCACCUGUUUUCUUGUCUGUAAAAUAGAGAUAUGAUCCUUAUUUGCUGAGAACUAUAGAUGAAAAGCGCUAUAUAAGUGCUAAGUAUUAUCAUUAUUAUUAGUGGAUGUCAUCUCAAAUUUGUCAGACACUGCCAUACUAUCCAACAAGUAUUGGUAAUACUAAUAACAAAGAACAUUUACUUUUAUUUUUUGCCUCAGUUUGUCUGUUUAGAUCAUCAUGGAUAGGAAAUGCUUAAGCCCUUUGAGAGGAUUAUAUAUAUUAUUUUAGGAACUUGAAUUUUUUACUGAAACUUGCCUUCAAUUCCUAUGUAAUUCAUCUAUCAUUUCCUCUGUGAAUUUCUCUGUUUAUUUUAGACCCAGUUACCUUAGGGCUUGUGUAUAACUGCAAUGGCAUGAAUUUUAUUAAAAAGGAAAUUAAUUUGUAUGCCUGCAUCUGAGGAUGCACAAUCUUUAGUAAUUACAAACAUCUGAAUUUUUUUCCCACUGUUGAAGACAAUCUGCCUUCAUUUGAGAUAACAUUUGUGUCUGGAAUAAAGCACAUAUUGUUUUGUUUUCUAAAGGAGAUAGUUUGUUGUAUGGUAGAUGCUUGAAAUUCGUGAGAAAGCUGGGAGUAUUGAAAUGGCAGAUAUGUUUCAAAAGUGCAAUGAAUGUGUUAAUUGUGUUGGUAUUUUGAACCUCAUGAUGCACAUUCCAAAUUAGCAGUUCUUUAUACCAUACUACCAUGGGACAUCUUAAUUUUCAACUCUUAAAAAUAUUGUUAUUGCAAGCAGCUAAGGCUGCACAAUUGCAGCACUUAAAGUACUAGAAUUAUCUAUGUAAAAUAUCUACUAGGUGCACUUUUUGCACCUUAAUUGAUAAAUGCAUUUGAAAAAGUCUGAUUUACGUUUAUAGAAAAAUCUAUUCUAAAAAAAUCAUUAUUCGUGUAAGUGUAUAUAACUUCCCUCUCUGAGGGAAGCAUUUUAACAAUUUUCUCAGAUAUGUACGCACGCGCACACACACAUAGUGUUGGCAAAAUAAUCUUGCAGUACUUUUACAUGUUGUUAUGGUUGCUGAAUGACAGCUGUGUGUAAUAUGUUAACAUUUUUCUUUUCUUGUUUUACAUAUGUCAAACUGUUAAAAUGUCUUAGUGGAAAAUAAAAGAAGGAUUAGAAAAGUUA